CCUGAUAACUCAGUUGGUAAAGAAUCUGCCUCCAAUGCAGGAGACCCUGGUUUGAUUCCUGGGUCAGGA
This 69-nucleotide transfer RNA is filed under the name Bos taurus (domestic cattle). It matches the Rfam family "tRNA". Rfam says of the family: Transfer RNA (tRNA) molecules are approximately 80 nucleotides in length. RNAcentral also lists the same sequence under 4 other names. The record is from Rfam by way of RNAcentral. Lineage: Eukaryota; Metazoa; Chordata; Mammalia; Artiodactyla; Bovidae.